GCAUCUACACUUUCUGGUAUGUUUACAAUUGUUUUUGGGGAUAUUGGAAAUAACGGCAUUAGAGCAAGUGAUGUUACUGUCGAAACAGAGGAAAGUAGAGAAAUUACAGAAAACAGAGAUUAUACUCGAGAAAGUGAUGAGAAUCGUGAAGUAGAAGAUGACGAUGAGAUUGAGUCAUUAAAUGAAGAACAUGAUUCUGAGGAUGAACAAGAACAACAUCAAGUAGUACAAGAGCUAAGGAGAUCGCAAAGACAAGUUAAAGCCCC
This 266-nucleotide long non-coding RNA is filed under the name Capsella rubella. Its description in RNAcentral is "long non-coding RNA (CRUB_LNC001662)". Lineage: Eukaryota; Viridiplantae; Streptophyta; Magnoliopsida; Brassicales; Brassicaceae. The record is from RNAcentral.